UACGUAGGGGGCAAGCGUUGUCCGGAGUUACUGGGCGUAAAGCGCUCGCAGGCGGUCUGGUAAGUUUGGAGUGACAGUCAUCGGCUUAACUGAUGAAGUGCUUCGAAAACUGCCCGACUUGAGGGCUUCAGAGGGACACGGAAUUCCGGGUGGAGUGGUGAAAUGCGUAGAUAUCCGGAGGAACACCAAAGGCGUAGGCAGUGUCCUGGGAAGCAACUGACGCUCAUGUGCGAAAGCUAGGGGAGCGAACGGG
Molecule: ribosomal RNA, 253 nt
Filed under: uncultured bacterium
Lineage: Bacteria
Description: partial 16S ribosomal RNA
Rfam family: Bacterial small subunit ribosomal RNA
Source: RNAcentral